RNAcentral lists this long non-coding RNA (1544 nucleotides) under Takifugu rubripes (torafugu). RNAcentral's name for it is "lncRNA (ENSTRUG00000030885.1)". Lineage: Eukaryota; Metazoa; Chordata; Actinopteri; Tetraodontiformes; Tetraodontidae. The record is from RNAcentral.
UGUUUUGCAUUCGUGUAAAACUGUGCAGCUAAAUGCUAAACUGUAGUUUUUGUUUGUAAUUUGAAACCACAGACUUCUUCUGGCAGUGACAUUUGUAAACAUUAGUGGCCACGAUGUUUUCAUGAAAGUGAUACAAUAGUUUAUUCUUUGGUGAGGAAGAGAAAUACUGUGGAUACAGGAAAUGUGAGGAUUGUGGAUGUAAACCUUUCUUUUGGCGGGGAUGCAGCUUAUCUUGUUAGCUAGCCUGGUCAGUUUGCUGACUAGCCUGGUUACGCAUUUAAAUUACAACAAAAAUAAAACUUGAGUUUUUGUACUCAACACAGUAAUCAACAAUAACCGCUAAUAAACUACAAUUAAAGCUCAUUUGAAUGUAUUUGAAUCUGAAAUUGGUGGAUGACAACCACAGUUGUAAAAGUCUGAGUUUAAAAAAAUAUGGUUGACUCCUUGAUGUGAUUAGGCUAACUAUACUCCAACAACAACAACAACAAUAAUAAUAAGCGAUCCGACCCCGGAUAAGCGGCGGAAGAUGGAUAAUAAUAAUAAUAAUAAUAAUAAUAAUAAUAAUAAUAAUAAUAAUAAAUCACUGCUAAGUGGCUUGUGAAACAUAAAGGCUCCAGUAAAUGGCCGUUUUGGCCAGAGAAACAGUCCGGGUGGGUCCAACAUAACGACCGCGGCUCUGUGGUUCCGGAGGUGCAUCGUGACGAAGGCAGAACACCAGCAGCUCUCCGGCGCAGCUUGGCUUCCCGGAACCUGCCGCUUUUCCAAAUGCAGCAUCUGCUUGUGCGCCCGCUUCCCCUUCUCUCCUCCCCGGACCGGCACCGACAGAGCUCGCCUCAGAUGAGGAGUUUGCUGCACUCCGAGCUAAGUGAUCUGCAGCUGCACCACAAUCUCCACAAUGUUGUUGGGUGGGGAAAAAAAGUCACAACCAAAAGACUUUAAAGAUUAAUUGAUUGUGAAGAAUAUAUGCUGAUGUGAGCUGAUAACUAAUGACUUCCCUCUAAGGUCAUUCUCCACUGUGUCAGCAGUUGCUACAAUCCAUUGCAAAUGUGUCUGACAUCCUAAUGUAUUUUUUUCAGACCUGGUGGCCACAGGUUUAUUCCAGGCUGUAGAAUUUUUCAGACGCUCCAACAGGCUGGAUUCAGCAGCAGUCGGCACGAGCGACAGCCUGGUUGGGCUCCGUCUAUGAAGAUGUCACUUGCCGUGCUUCAAAACAGGAGUGAACGUUGCUAAUGUUUAGAUUUUUAAAUUGAUUUGUUCAUUUCGUUGCUGCAACAUUGCUGCAAUCAAAACCUGCCAGUAAUUUUCCAUUCAGCUUGCCAGCCGCUAUCACUUCAUCAGCUUAACCUCACUCCCCAGUAUUUAAGCUGCUACUGCCCACUCGCUCUCAGCCAGAUUGUUCUGUGCACUGCAAUACAAAGCUCUGUCCCACCAGCCUCUGACUAACCUGAUUUGAUAUUUCCCCUGGGAAAAACACCUCUUGCUCUUUUUCUUCACCACAAAUUCACCCCAACUUGUGCCUUUUAUCUGCUGUACUUCUGGUUCAG